UGGGGAAUUUUGGACAAUGGGGGAAACCCUGAUCCAGCCAUCCCGCGUGUGCGAUGAAGGCCUUCGGGUUGUAAAGCACUUUUGGCAGGAAAGAAACGUCGCGGGUUAAUACCCCGCGAAACUGACGGUACCUGCAGAAUAAGCACCGGCUAACUACGUGCCAGCAGCCGCGGUAAUACGUAGGGUGCAAGCGUUAAUCGGAAUUACUGGGCGUAAAGCGUGCGCAGGCGGUUCGGAAAGAAAGAUGUGAAAUCCCAGAGCUUAACUUUGGAACUGCAUUUUUAACUACCGGGCUAGAGUGUGUCAGAGGGAGGUGGAAUUCCGCGUGUAGCAGUGAAAUGCGUAGAUAUGCGGAGGAACACCGAUGGCGAAGGCAGCCUCCUGGGAUAACACUGACGCUCAUGCACGAAAGCGUGGGGAGCAAACAGGAUUAGAUACCCUGGUAGUCCACGCCCUAAACGAUGUCAACUAGCUGUUGGGGCCUUCGGGCCUUGGUAGCGCAGCUAACGCGUGAAGUUGACCGCCUGGGGAGUACGGUCGCAAGAUUAAAACUUAAAUGAAUUGACGGGGGUCAUAGCGU
This 580-nucleotide ribosomal RNA is filed under the name uncultured bacterium. RNAcentral describes it as "partial 16S ribosomal RNA". It matches the Rfam family "Bacterial small subunit ribosomal RNA", at positions 355 to 928 of the family's 1533-position model. The record is from RNAcentral.